RNAcentral lists this ribosomal RNA (390 nucleotides) under uncultured fungus. Its description in RNAcentral is "eukaryotic LSU rRNA". The stretch from base 1 to 125 matches the Rfam family "5.8S ribosomal RNA", at positions 30 to 154 of the family's 154-position model. The record is from RNAcentral. Lineage: Eukaryota; Fungi.
GCAUCGAUGAAGAACGCAGCCAGUUGCGAUAAGUAGUGUGAAUUGCAGAAUUCAGUGAAUCAUCGAAUCUUUGAACGCAAAUUGCGCUUUCCGGAUAUCCGGGGAGCAUGCCUGUCUGAGCGUCGUUUAAUAAUCUACACACCUCGGUGUGGGUAGGGAGUUCAUGUGACCUGACCUUCAGGACACCUGUCUCUCGAUGUGUCUGAACCUUGCUCGUACUUGCUUAUGUACUUGCUUGGAAGGCUCAACUUGCUUCUGUCCUUCUAAAGCUUCGUACUUGCUUGUUAAGCUUGUGUUCUCUGAGUUCUCUUCACGAGUUCUCGCUCACAAUUUUGACCUCAGAUCAGACAAGACUACCCGCUGAAUUUAAGCAUAUCAAUAAGCGGAGGA